GCAAACCACUGAAGGAACGACGUGGGACUGUGUUUGCAUGUCAGUUCAGAUGGCAGUUUAAAGGCAUUUGAAUCCUCUGCAACGACAGAGCUUGGGUGUAUACUACUGUAGCAAUGACGACCAAAGCAGUGUCGGUGUAACUCCAAGUACUGAUGAACUAGAGACGAGAAAAGCUGUGUCGAGAGAGAGCAAACCACUGAAGGAACGACGUGGGACUGUGUUUGCAUGUCAGUUCAGAUGGCAGUUUAAAGGCAUUUGAAUCCUCUGCAACGACAGAGCUUGGGUGUAUACUAGCAAUGACGACCAAAGCAGUGUCGGUGUAACUCCAAGUACUGAUGAACUAGAGACGAGAAAAGCUGCGUCGAGAGAGAGCAAACCACUGAAGAAAUGACGUGGGACUGUGUUUGCAUGUCAGUUCAGAUGGCAGUUUAAAGGAAG
Clarias gariepinus (North African catfish) is the source of this 438-nucleotide long non-coding RNA. RefSeq lists it as uncharacterized. Lineage: Eukaryota; Metazoa; Chordata; Actinopteri; Siluriformes; Clariidae. The transcript is spliced from 3 exons. The record is from RefSeq and is a predicted model, not a curated record.